AGUGAACGCUGGCGGUAGGCCUAACACAUGCAAGUCGAACGGCAGCACAGUAAGAGCUUGCUCUUACGGGUGGCGAGUGGCGGACGGGUGAGGAAUACAUCGGAAUCUACUUUUUCGUGGGGGAUAACGUAGGGAAACUUACGCUAAUACCGCAUACGACCUACGGGUGAAAGCAGGGGAUCUUCGGACCUUGCGCGAUUGAAUGAGCCGAUGUCGGAUUAGCUAGUUGGAGGGGUAAAGGCCCACCAAGGCGACGAUCCGUAGCUGGUCUGAGAGGAUGAUCAGCCACACUGGAACUGAGACACGGUCCAGACUCCUACGGGAGGCAGCAGUGGGGAAUAUUGGACAAUGGGCGCAAGCCUGAUCCAGCCAUACCGCGUGGGUGAAGAAGGCCUUCGGGUUGUAAAGCCCUUUUGUUGGGAAAGAAAAGCAGCAGGUUAAUACCCCGCUGUUCUGACGGUACCCAAAGAAUAAGCACCGGCUAACUUCGU
Molecule: ribosomal RNA, 491 nt
Filed under: uncultured bacterium
Lineage: Bacteria
Description: partial 16S ribosomal RNA
Rfam family: Bacterial small subunit ribosomal RNA
Source: RNAcentral